RNAcentral lists this ribosomal RNA (536 nucleotides) under uncultured bacterium. RNAcentral describes it as "bacterial SSU rRNA". It matches the Rfam family "Bacterial small subunit ribosomal RNA", at positions 376 to 903 of the family's 1533-position model. The record is from RNAcentral.
GGCACCCUGGAUCCAGCCAUUCCGCGUGAGUGAAGAAGGCCUUCGGGUUGUAAAGCUCUUUCAGCCGGAAAGAAACGGUACGCUCUAACAUAGCGUGCUAAUGACGGUACCGGCAGAAGAAGCACCGGCUAACUACGUGCCAGCAGCCGCGGUAAUACGUAGGGUGCGAGCGUUAAUCGGAAUUACUGGGCGUAAAGCGUGCGCAGGCGGAUUAUUAAGCAAGACGUGAAAGCCCCGGGCUUAACCUGGGAAUGGCGUUUUGAACUGGUAGUCUAGAGUGUGUCAGAGGGGGGUGGAAUUCCACGUGUAGCAGUGAAAUGCGUAGAUAUGUGGAGGAACACCAAUGGCGAAGGCAGCCCCCUGGGAUAACACUGACGCUCAUGUACGAAAGCGUGGGUAGCAAACAGGAUUAGAUACCCUGGUAGUCCACGCCCUAAACGAUGUCAACUGGUUGUUGGGGGAGUGAAAUCCCUUAGUAACGAAGCUAACGCGUGAAGUUGACCGCCUGGGGAGUACGGUCGCAAGAUUAAAACUCA